This 75-nucleotide transfer RNA is filed under the name Actinomycetales bacterium. Its description in RNAcentral is "tRNA-Val". It matches the Rfam family "tRNA". Rfam says of the family: Transfer RNA (tRNA) molecules are approximately 80 nucleotides in length. Their secondary structure includes four short double-helical elements and three loops (D, anti-codon, and T loops). The record is from RNAcentral. Lineage: Bacteria; Bacillati; Actinomycetota; Actinomycetes; Actinomycetales.
GGGCGAUUGGCUCAGCGGUAGAGCGCUCGCUUCACACGCGAGAGGUCACUGGUUCGAACCCAGUAUCGCCCACAA